CCUACGGGAGGCAGCAGUGAGGAAUAUUGGACAAUGGGCGCAAGCCUGAUCCAGCCAUGCCGCGUGCAGGAAGAAGCAUCUAUGGUGUGUAAACUGCUUUUGUACAGGAAGAAACACUCCCUCGUGAGGGAGCUUGACGGUACUGUAAGAAUAAGGACCGGCUAACUCCGUGCCAGCAGCCGCGGUAAUACGGAGGGUCCGAGCGUUAUCCGGAAUCAUUGGGUUUAAAGGGUCCGUAGGCGGUUUAAUAAGUCAGUGGUGAAAUCUGGUCGCUCAACGAUCAAACGGCCAUUGAUACUGUUAGACUUGAAUUAUAAGGAAGUAACUAGAAUAUGUAGUGUAGCGGUGAAAUGCUUAGAUAUUACAUGGAAUACCAAUUGCGAAGGCAGGUUACUACUUAUGGAUUGACGCUGAUGGACGAAAGCGUGGGGAGCGAACAGGAUUAGAUACCCUGGUAGUCCACGCCGUAAACGAUGGAUACUAGCUGUUCGGAGCAAUCUGAGUGNGUAGAGAAGUAGAUAAGUAUACCACCGUACGGGAGGUACGUUCGUCGAAGAAGAAGAAACGUAAACGAAAGUAAGUAGACGNGAGAGAGCGACGACGACGACGAGGAGGAGGAG
Molecule: ribosomal RNA, 620 nt
Filed under: uncultured bacterium
Lineage: Bacteria
Description: bacterial SSU rRNA
Rfam family: Bacterial small subunit ribosomal RNA (bases 1-532)
Source: RNAcentral